GAUGAACGCUAGCGGCAGGCUUAACACAUGCAAGUCGAGGGGCAGCGAGGGUAGCAAUACCUGUCGGCGACCGGCGGAAGGGUGAGUAACGCGUGAGCAACAUACCCGUAUCAGUGGGAUAAUACAGGGAAACUUGUUCUAAUAUCGCAUAAUAUUAUUCAGAGGCAUCUUUGGAUAAUUAAAGUUACGGCGGAUACGGAAUGGCUCGCGUGACAUUAGCUAGAUGGUAGGGUAAUGGCCUACCAUGGCGAUGAUGUCUAGGGGUUCUGAGAGGGAGGUCCCCCAACUGGAACUGAGACACGGUCCAGACUCCUACGGGAGGCAGCAGUGAGGAAUAUUGGACAAUGGAUGGAAAUCUGAUCCAGCCAUGCCGCGUGCAGGAAGGCGGCCCCUAAUGGGGUUUAAAACUGCUUUUUGUACCGGGAGCAAUAAAGGUCUACGGAGUAGAUUGAUGGAAGUACUGUACGAAUAAGCAUCGGCUAACUCCCG
RNAcentral lists this ribosomal RNA (489 nucleotides) under uncultured bacterium. RNAcentral describes it as "bacterial SSU rRNA". It matches the Rfam family "Bacterial small subunit ribosomal RNA", at positions 28 to 506 of the family's 1533-position model. The record is from RNAcentral.